AUGAACGCUAGCGAUAGGCUUAACACAUGCAAGUCGAGGGGCAGCAUGGUCUUAGCUUGCUCAGACUGAUGGCGACCGGCGCACGGGUGCGUAACGCGUAUGCAACUUGCCUCACAGAGGGGGAUAACCCGUCGAAAGACGGACUAAUACCGCGUACACUUGGGAUAGGGCAUCCUGACCCAAGGAAAUGAAAUUCGCUGUGAGAUAGGCAUGCGUCCCAUUAGCUAGUUGGUGAGGUAACGGCUCACCAAGGCGACGAUGGGUAGGGGAACUGAGAGGUUGAACCCCCACACUGGUACUGAGACACGGACCAGACUCCUACGGGAGGCAGCAGUGAGGAAUAUUGGUCAAUGGGCGAGAGCCUGAACCAGCCAAGUCGCGUGAAGGAUGACUGUCUUAUGGAUUGUAAACUUCUUUUAUACGGGAAUAACAAGAGCCACGUGUGGCUCCCUGCAUGUACCGUAUGAAUAAGCAUCGGCUAACUCCGUG
This 489-nucleotide ribosomal RNA is filed under the name uncultured bacterium. RNAcentral's name for it is "partial 16S ribosomal RNA". It matches the Rfam family "Bacterial small subunit ribosomal RNA", at positions 29 to 507 of the family's 1533-position model. The record is from RNAcentral.